UCUCCUCUGCUGCCUCCACUUCGGCUCGCGAAGGAUGACAUGAUGCAGAAAAAAAGCAUGGCCGCCAUCACCGCCGCCUCCACUUCGGACUCGAGGGUGUAGAGCCCCAUGGCUUCGUCGAGGGCCGCGGAAAUAACAGGGCAGCUUCCUGCUGGGGCAGCCGAUCUGGGAGGAGCUGUUUGUGGCGCUGGGGCGGGCAACCGGAGAAGGACGCCGACUCGCGGUUCCGCGCCUGCUGAUUCGUGGUCAUCGCCGGCCUCCUGCUCCUCGCCGGUGAGGUCCUCGGACGAAGCAGCCAAAUCCAGGACGGACAUGCCCCUUGAGGAUUACUAAUCGUAUUUUUUAUCGCUCGACAGAGCUUGUGCAUAUCGCCAGGAUUUGAGUAUUCAGAAGCCCACAAAUAGGGGCGCUAUUUGAACUCGAGUUUGUCAUGGUUUACCCUCAGGGAACUAUCAUGGAUGAAAUGGUGCCAAUACACUGAAUUAACAAGUUCAGGCACAAACUGAAGGAAUGCUUCAUCUAGCGAUUGCAUGUUUCCCUUCUCGAUGCUAGCGGCCAUUGCAUGUUUCUCUUCUCGAUGCUAGCGGCCGUCAACACCGAAGACCAGCAAGAUUUGAUUUUGGGCAGAUGGACAGGACGUCGAUCCCGGGGGACACGAGACUACGUGAAGGAACUGCUGCAGAGGAUACAACGGUUGCAGUUGGAGUUAGAGGAGUCACGCUGCAGUGGGUAUGGCUGUCGAGUGUGUUCCAGCAGCAGAACCCCAAUGAGAUGCUGGUCAGGAACAGCUCCAAGGUGAGGAAUUGAAACCACCCACUGUCUCCAGAGGAGAGUGGCUUCAUUUUUGCUAUAACUUGAAAAUAUGGUGAGAGCAAGAUACUUUGAGUAGUGAGGAAUCGAUGAGUAGCAAUUUGAUUAGUUUGGUAGAUGUAAUGUAACACACGUAUCCACACAAUUCUGAGGCAACAAAACUACAAUUAGCUCACAGACUCUUGUUUGCUAAAUGUUUAGAAUGAAAGACCGGCGAGUUGAUUGUUUCAACAAAGCAUGGUCAAUUGAUUCAAGAAUGUUUGAAAUGAAUUUGAAAGGCAUUUUGGACAAACAUCCUGGUGAUGGUGUUGUGUGUGUGCCGCUACUGUUUUGUGUUAUGUGCUACCACUUCCAUGCCGCUAUGUGAGGGAUUUAGAGAGAUUCAGAGAUGAGAGAGGCCACUGUUGGGAUAUGGAUUACUACUAAUUAUUUGCUGCUCUGAGUUGUAUGUUAUUGCUGCUCCGAUUUGUAUGUUGCUGCUUGGGUGAAUUAGGACAGUGCUGCUGCAACAUAUGGAACAAAGUACUAGAGAUAAUGAUGCUGCUACUAAUAGAUUGUUGCUAUUUUUACCUUCUGCAGUUUCUAAUGCUGCUUUGGGUUAUGUAGUUUGUAUUAGCUAUAUCUUUUCCAAGUACAAAUAAUUUAAAAAGUAUGGUUGGUUCGUUCCUGAUUUUGUGUUAUUUUGUGGUCCCUUUUGCAUUGAUAUGAAUUCAUAUUUUGAUGCAUUCUUCCAUCCUGUAUGCUAUUAGACAUGCUCAUUUGAAGAUUGGGUUAUCAAUAUCAAUUACGGUUACCUUUCAACGUCUAAUCAGGUCUGCAAGGUAGUGUUAUUUCUCUUCUAUUUUUGUGAUUCUUCAUAUGCAGAAAAUGGUAUGUUCAGCUUAUAUCAUAAAUUCCAUAAGGACUACAUGAUAUGAUAACAUAUGAUUCUCAUACCAGCUCUAUUGUGUUUUCCAUUAUUUGUCUAAUGUAAAAAGCUAUUGCUGUGCACAAAUGUUUGUACAGUAGACAUUCUUUUGGGUGUGUGUAUGUGUUCCCUUAGUUGCGGUCAGUAUAUAUCUGAACCAUCAUUCCGUCUUACUGCUGGAAAUAUUGGUCCCAUUCCACAUAAUCAGUCUAAGCCUGUUGUAUUUUUCCUAAUUUUUAUUGUAGUAUUAACCCAUGAAAUGUAGCUUGAGAAGGGUAUAUUUCAUCUUUAUAAGUUCCAUCAGUAUUAGUUCUCCAUUUUACAUCAAAAAGGAUGUAAGCAUAGAGACAGAAUACGUCAUCCAUAUGUCUAGAAUUGCAGAAACCCGUAUACAAGUUUCCAGUAAUUUCUCUUUGAUGAAUACGUUUCACUUAAAAAAUGUGAAUGGAAGGUGUUAAUAUUUUAUCACCCUUUGAAUACUUAUUUUGAAAGUCCCAGGCGCGGCGUCGGUACACAUGUACAUGGAUUAAGGUAGUAAGCAGGUGCCAAGCUGGACUGCCUGUGUAUCCUUGGGAUCAGAUUUUUCCUGGUCGGAGUCGUGGCUUCAAGGUGAGAAAGUGAAUGGAAAUUCCUUCUCCUUAUAGAUUUUUGCAUCUUUGGGUAAUUUUUCUAAGAAGCGACCGACCGGCUCAUGAAUAAUUAUUGUAUUUUUUAUUUAACUCAAGUCUUUUUACUUGCUUCUACAGGUUCAUAGCGAGCAUAUCCAAGAUAUGUAUCAUUUAUCCAUUUGUUUUCUUUUGAGGUUUUGAUGAUGUUCCUUGGAAAAAAAAUUCAAAUUUCGUCCCCACAAUGUUUCGGACAUUAAUGUGAACAUGUAUAGAGCAUUUUUCUGAAUUUACAUGUAUAGAAGUUUUUUUCA
Molecule: long non-coding RNA, 2636 nt
Organism: Triticum aestivum (bread wheat)
Lineage: Eukaryota; Viridiplantae; Streptophyta; Magnoliopsida; Poales; Poaceae
Exons: 4
Source: RefSeq, a predicted model, not a curated record